GUGGGGAAUAUUGGACAAUGGGGGCAACCCUGAUCCAGCAAUGCCGCGUGUGUGAAGAAGGUCUUCGGAUCGUAAAGCACUUUCGACGGGGACGAUGAUGACGGUACCCGUAGAAGAAGCCCCGGCUAACUUCGUGCCAGCAGCCGCGGUAAUCCGAAGGGGGCUAGCGUUGCUCGGAAUUACUGGGCGUAAAGGGCGCGUAGGCGGCUCUGUUAGUCAGGCGUGAACUUCCUGGGCUUAACCUGGGGACUGCGCUUGAUACUGCGGAGCUUGAGGCCGAGAGAGGGUGGUGGAAUUACCAGUGUAGAGGUGAAAUUCGUAGAUAGUGGGAAGAACACCGGUGGCGAAGGCGACCACCUGGCUCGGUACUGACGCUGAGGCGCGACAGCGUGGGGAGCAAACAGGAUUAGAAACCCUAGUAGUCC
Molecule: ribosomal RNA, 425 nt
Filed under: uncultured bacterium
Lineage: Bacteria
Description: partial 16S ribosomal RNA
Rfam family: Bacterial small subunit ribosomal RNA
Source: RNAcentral